RNAcentral lists this ribosomal RNA (481 nucleotides) under uncultured bacterium. RNAcentral's name for it is "partial 16S ribosomal RNA". It matches the Rfam family "Bacterial small subunit ribosomal RNA", at positions 28 to 507 of the family's 1533-position model. The record is from RNAcentral.
GAUGAACGCUGGCGGCGUGCUUAACACAUGCAAGUCGAACGAAGCACUUUAUUUGAUUUCCUUCGGGACUGAUUAUUUUGUGACUGAGUGGCGGACGGGUGAGUAACGCGUGGGUAACCUGCCUUGUACAGGGGGAUAACAGUUGGAAACGGCUGCUAAUACCGCAUAAGCGCACGGCAUCGCAUGAUGCAGUGUGAAAAACUCCGGUGGUAUAAGAUGGACCCGCGUUGGAUUAGCUAGUUGGUGAGGUAACGGCCCACCAUGGCGACGAUCCAUAGCCGACCUGAGAGGGUGACCGGCCACAUUGGGACUGAGACACGGCCCAAACUCCUACGGGAGGCAGCAGUGGGGAAUAUUGCACAAUGGGCGAAAGCCUGAUGCAGCGACGCCGCGUGAGCGAAGAAGUAUUUCGGUAUGUAAAGCUCUAUCAGCAGGGAAGAUAAUGACGGUACCUGACUAAGAAGCACCGGCUAAAUACGUG